CGUCGGGGACGUGUGAUCUUGCCCAGCGGCACUGCCAGCGCCAACUCAUAGUAGGUCAGGCCUCUGACUUAUUGAUAGUGACGAGUCCAUUCGAGCUGGCGGGCGCCAGGAUUAACUGCAAGCAGCCUGGGUCCUGUCGGUUUCAAGGCUGGGCCUCGUCGUCGAUCAUCAUGGCCAGAGAGGACAGAGUGACCACGUGAGCAGGGGCUCCCAAGGCCUCACCUGCCCUGAGCAUCCGCCCUCAUGUUGGAGGACCAAGGGCUACAGGAAAGCUGAAAACCACUCGACUGGACAUUCCCUCAGGCUCUUCUUGUAGCUCAAAGAACCUAUCUUCCUCCUUACUUUUCCCACCGCAUAAAAUACGAUCACUCUCCCCAA
Orcinus orca (killer whale) is the source of this 378-nucleotide long non-coding RNA. RefSeq lists it as uncharacterized. The record is from RefSeq and is a predicted model, not a curated record. NCBI's taxonomy places the organism in Eukaryota, Metazoa, Chordata, Mammalia, Artiodactyla, Delphinidae. The transcript is spliced from 2 exons.